Molecule: ribosomal RNA, 253 nt
Filed under: uncultured bacterium
Lineage: Bacteria
Description: partial 16S ribosomal RNA
Rfam family: Bacterial small subunit ribosomal RNA
Source: RNAcentral
UACGUAGGGUGCAAGCGUUGUCCGGAAUUAUUGGGCGUAAAGAGCUCGUAGGCGGUCUGUCGCGUCGGCUGUGAAAACCUGGGGCUUAACUCCGGGCCUGCAGCCGAUACGGGCAGACUAGAGUUCGGCAGGGGAGACUGGAAUUCCUGGUGUAGCGGUGAAAUGCGUAGAUAUCAGGAGGAACACCGAUGGCGAAGGCAGGUCUCUGGGCUGACACUGACGCUCAUGCACGAAAGCGUGGGGAGCAAACAGG